GCAGGUGUCAUUAGUUGUCUCUGAUUGAGAAUCAUACUUAGGUAGCCUGGGUUGCACUGUUUGUUGGUGGGUGAUUGUCUAUGUUAGUGGCUUGUGUCAGCACAGGUCUCAUUUGUAGCUUCACGGUCGUCAUUGGUUUAUUGUUUUUGUUACUCUUUUGUAUAGUGUUGCAGUGUUCUCUUUAUUAAAAUUCACUAUGAACACAUACCACGCCGCAUAUUGGUCCUCUGAUCCUUCUCACCUCUCCUCUUCAGAUGAAGAGGAGGAAGACCGUGACAGUAUGGAAUCAAUCUUUAAGAUGUUUUUAACAUAAA
Long non-coding RNA from Oncorhynchus tshawytscha (Chinook salmon), 314 nucleotides. Lineage: Eukaryota; Metazoa; Chordata; Actinopteri; Salmoniformes; Salmonidae. The record is from Ensembl.